This 30-nucleotide non-coding RNA is filed under the name Rattus norvegicus (Norway rat). Lineage: Eukaryota; Metazoa; Chordata; Mammalia; Rodentia; Muridae. The record is from RNAcentral.
UGAAUUUCAAUUCUGGAUCGUGUUGGAAAC